GGGGGGGGGGGGGGGGGGGCGGGGGGGGGGGGGGUGGGGGGGGGGGGGGGUGGGUGGGUGGGGUGCUCUGGUGGCGGGCGGGUGAGGAAGACGGGGGUACCAGGGCGUGGAGGGUGUGGUGACGUCAGUAGACGAGGGAUCAUACCGGCUUGAGGCUCCUGCUGCAUGGGGUGGUGUGUCAAUUGUCGGCGGUUGGGGAUGGAAUCGCGGGUUAGCAGCUUGUUGGUGGGGUAGUGGCUUACCAAGGCUUUGACGGGUAGCCGGCCUGAGAGGGUGACCGGCCACAUUGGGACUGAGAUACGGCCCAGACUCCUACGGGAGGCAGCAGGGGGGAAUAUUGCACAAUGGGCGGACGCCGGAUGCAGCAACGCCGCGUGCGGGAUGACGGCCUUCGGGUUGUAAACCGCUUUCGCCUGUGACGAAGCGUGAGUGACGGUAAUGGGUAAAGAAGCACCGGCUAACUACGUG
Molecule: ribosomal RNA, 468 nt
Filed under: uncultured bacterium
Lineage: Bacteria
Description: partial 16S ribosomal RNA
Rfam family: Bacterial small subunit ribosomal RNA (bases 58-468)
Source: RNAcentral